RNAcentral lists this ribosomal RNA (116 nucleotides) under Klebsiella pneumoniae. RNAcentral's name for it is "partial 16S ribosomal RNA". It matches the Rfam family "Bacterial small subunit ribosomal RNA", at positions 1427 to 1533 of the family's 1533-position model. Lineage: Bacteria; Pseudomonadati; Pseudomonadota; Gammaproteobacteria; Enterobacterales; Enterobacteriaceae. The record is from RNAcentral.
UAGGUAGCUUAACCUUCGGGAGGGCGCUUACCACUUUGUGAUUCAUGACUGGGUGAAGUCGUAACAAGGUAACCGUAGGGGAACCUGCGGUUGGAUCACCUCCUUACCUUAAAGAA